UAACCACAAACUUGAGAGCCC
Molecule: non-coding RNA, 21 nt
Filed under: Rattus norvegicus (Norway rat)
Lineage: Eukaryota; Metazoa; Chordata; Mammalia; Rodentia; Muridae
Source: RNAcentral